This is a microRNA precursor of Cercocebus atys (sooty mangabey), 86 nucleotides long. Lineage: Eukaryota; Metazoa; Chordata; Mammalia; Primates; Cercopithecidae. The record is from Ensembl.
UAUUAGGUUGGUGUGAAAGUAAUUGCGGUUUUUGCCAUUACUUUUAACUGCAAAAACCACAAUUGUUUUUGCACCAACAUAAUACU